Aegilops tauschii subsp. strangulata is the source of this 328-nucleotide long non-coding RNA. RefSeq lists it as uncharacterized. NCBI's taxonomy places the organism in Eukaryota, Viridiplantae, Streptophyta, Magnoliopsida, Poales, Poaceae. The record is from RefSeq and is a predicted model, not a curated record.
UCUGUCUUCUCCUCUUCCUGCCCCAAGCUAGGGUUCGUGGAGUUUCUUGCUAGAUCUGCUCCCUCUGUGAAUACUUCUUCUUUUGCUUUUUGUUUUUGCUGGAUCUGCUCCCUCUGCGAAUACUACUUCUUUUGCUUUUUGUUUCUGCUAGAUCUGCUCAUUUUCACUUUGUUUGUGCUUACUAAGGUGCUUCUCUAUGGUUCACUAUGGUGUUUGCAGGAUUUACCAAUCGGGGGAGUUUCGUUGAUGACGGAUUGCCGUUGCUCCAUCUCCUCUUUUUCAGGCAUGGUUUGCCCUGUUUGUCGUUGUCCAGGUGCUCCUUGCGUAC